GCGGUAUGCUUAACACAUGCAAGUCGAACGGAUGUUUUCGGACAUUAGUGGCGGACGGGUGAGUAACGCGUGAGAAUCUGCCUAUAGGUUGGGGACAACAGAUGGAAACGUCUGCUAAUACCCGAUGUGCCGAAAGGUAAAAGCUUUAGUGCCUGUAGAUGAGCUCGCGUCCGAUUAGCUAGUUGGUUGGGUAAAGGCUGACCAAGGCGACGAUCGGUAGCUGGUCUGAGAGGAUGAUCAGCCACACUGGGACUGAGACACGGCCCAGACUCCUACGGGAGGCAGCAGUGGGGAAUUUUCCGCAAUGGGCGAAAGCCUGACGGAGCAAUACCGCGUGCGGGACGAAGGCUUUUGGGUCGUAAACCGCUUUUGUUAGGGAAGAAGAACUGACGGUACCUAACGAAUCAGCAUCGGCUAACUCCGUGCCAGCAGCCGCGGUAAUACGGGGGAUGCAAGCGUUAUCCGGAAUUAUUGGGCGUAAAGCGUCCGCAGGUGGUUUAUCAAGUCUGCUGUCAAAGCGUGGGGCUUAACCCCAUAAAGGCAGUGGAAACUGAGAGACUAGAGUACGGUAGGGGUAGCGGGAAUUCCCAGUGUAGCGGUGAAAUGCGUAGAUAUUGGGAAGAACACCAGCGGCGAAAGCGCGCUACUGGGCCGAAACUGACACUCAUGGACGAAAGCUAGGGGAGCGAAAGGGAUUAGAUACCCCUGUAGUCCUAGCUGUAA
Molecule: ribosomal RNA, 723 nt
Filed under: uncultured cyanobacterium
Lineage: Bacteria; Bacillati; Cyanobacteriota
Description: bacterial SSU rRNA
Rfam family: Bacterial small subunit ribosomal RNA
Source: RNAcentral